This 292-nucleotide ribosomal RNA is filed under the name uncultured bacterium. Its description in RNAcentral is "partial 16S ribosomal RNA". It matches the Rfam family "Bacterial small subunit ribosomal RNA", at positions 505 to 796 of the family's 1533-position model. The record is from RNAcentral.
GUGUCAGCAGCCGCGGUAAUACAGAGGAGGCAAGCGUUGUUCGGAAUCACUGGGCUUAAAGCGCGUGUAGGCGGCCAUGCAAGUACUUUGUGAAAUCCCUCGGCUCAACCGGGGAAUUGCUUGGUAUACUGCAGGGCUUGAGGCGGGUAGGGGUGCUUGGAACUCUAGGUGGAGCGGUGAAAUGCGUAGAUAUCUAGAGGAACGCCUGUGGCGAAAGCGGAGCACUGGGCCCGUCCUGACGCUAAGACGCGAAAGCGUGGGUAGCAAACGGGAUUAGAAACCCCCGUAGUCC